UCCGACUUGGAGCCGGCAGUCUCCUGUGAAAAAACAACACAGGAUGAGGGUUGCGCUCGUUCAUUGACUUAACAACACACCUCAAGGCACGAGCUGACGACGACCGUGCAGCACCUGUCUUUAGGUUCCUUGCGGCACUCCCCUGUUUCCAGGGGAUUCCUAAGAUGUCAAGCCUGGGUGAGGUGCCCCGCUUAGUAUCGAAUUAAACCCCAUGCUCCACUGCUUGUGUGGGUCCCCGUCUAUUCCUUUGAGUUUUAACCUUGCGGCCGUACUCCCCAGGCGGCGUGUUUACCGCGUAAGCUAAGGCACGGAGGAUCGAUUGAACGUUCCCCCACACCGAACACGCAUCGUUUAGGGCGUGGACUA
This 366-nucleotide unclassified non-coding RNA is filed under the name uncultured bacterium. Its description in RNAcentral is "contains 16S-23S intergenic spacer region". The record is from RNAcentral.